ACAUAGUAAUUUUCAUUUAUCUCACCCUCACGGUCUCACCCCUCUCUUUGUCUCCAUCGUUAUCUUUCUUCUCGGAAACCCUGAACCAUCUUCACUGUUACGAAGCCGCUCCACCCAUUGUGACACCAAAGAGAAACCAUUUCUUACUCUCCAAUUCAAGAGCUUCCUAUUUAGUUAGAAAAUGGGAGGUAGUGAAAUUGAAGGCGGCGGCGAAGAUGACGGGUUUUAGUUCUCCGAUUGACCGUAAGUAUCAUCCCGUGUUGGCUAACGAUCGUGAUUUACUUGAGAUGUCUUCCAUAGAUCCAGGAUCUUCUUCUUCCCCAGCGUUUCCAGAUCAACCUUAUAAUCUCAGGAUCUUACCCAUGUGUGGCGCAGAGGAAGAGAAGGUUUCAUCCGUCUCCCGCCAAUUCCCAACUGGAGUUGUUUAUGCGGUUGAAAUCUCCCAUUGAAGUGAGCGUGAUUUGGUUAAUAUGGCUAACAAACGUACCAAUGUUAUACCGAUUAUUGAAGAUGCUAGACAUCCGGCUAAGUACAGAAUGUUGGUUGGCAUGGUAGAUGUGAUAUUUUCUGAUGUUGCUCAGCCUGAUCAGAAAAUGCUUUGCCUGGUGUUGUGUUGGACAGAAAAUGCUUUGCCUGUACCCAAAUGGCAGGAUUUCAGCUGAUGAAGCUCUUAACCAUCCAUAUCUUCAAUUUUGACCGCCUAAGGGCCUAUUCUCUCUUCCUUUCUACUUUUAACAGAACAAUCUUAUAGAAUCUUUGUCGUAAACAGUGUUUGAUUUUUGAUAGUGUGUGUUUUCCACUUGAUAUGCAAAUACUCAUGUUUUUUAUGAUUUCUUUGUCUUAAACAGUGUUUGAUUUUUGAUAUGCAAAUUCUGCAAUUUAUAAGGAAUGCUAUGUCUCAAAAAAUUCAUUUAAAAAGGAAAGUAAAUGACACUUAAAGAUAAGUAAUUUGUUGUAGCUUGAAAUCUAGCAAUUUGGAUGCUACAACAGUGUUGUCAAGACAGAUCUCUGAGCUUGGUAUCUAUCCAGCUGUCGACCUGUUUGAGAAAGGUUGCAAGAUUGCAAAUGAAGGAUGUAGCUAGUCGUCUUGCUAAGAAAGGAAUUGCAUUGGCAGUGACUGAUGCAGCACUAGAUUUAAUUCUUGCCAAGAGCUAUGAUCCUGUAGAAAACUUACUAAUAUAUUAUUUGUUGAAGUUACGUGAUAAGGUAGAAGACUUGUUUAGUUAUAGUCUGCUGCAAGUUGGAUAGUAUUCGAUUUUUUUAAAUUGGGCCUAUUGUACUGAAUAAAUCAGGUUAUACUGAAAAGGGUUUCAAGAGGAAACUAGCUGUUUAAGCCCUCUUUGGAAAGGUCUUCUAUCUAUCUGAGCCUGCAGAAAUUGUUGCCCUCGUCGAAAUUCCAAGUCAUAUCCGGGUUUGGGGAAUUGAUUUUGGAAUAAGACAGAUUCAGCAGAGGUACAAAAAAGCUACUGGUUACUUGCCGUUUAUUUUCGAGGGAUCGUUGCCAGGUGCGGGAUAGUUUGGUUAUGUAGUCUUGACAGAGAAUGAAAGCUGAUCAUGAUUUGUAUUUUUGUAUCUAUCUCGUAAUCAUGGCAUGUAUUCUUACAACCUACAUCUUGACACACUCAUAAUGAAUGAUAAGAUAGAAUUGAAAAUCAACCUAGUAAGAUAUGCAGAGCAAUACAAUAUGGUUCUAAGUUUUUGAGUAAUGGUGGACCUGGUACAGCGUAGAAUGUAGACAAAACAACUAGCUUAGCACGAAAAGUUUUUAGUCUAUUUAAGGUCAGUUUUGUU
This is a long non-coding RNA of Vicia villosa (hairy vetch), 1791 nucleotides long. RefSeq lists it as uncharacterized. Lineage: Eukaryota; Viridiplantae; Streptophyta; Magnoliopsida; Fabales; Fabaceae. The record is from RefSeq and is a predicted model, not a curated record. The transcript has 9 exons.